GCUGGCGUAGCUUAAUUAAAGCAUAACAC
Molecule: transfer RNA, 29 nt
Filed under: Salvelinus malma malma
Lineage: Eukaryota; Metazoa; Chordata; Actinopteri; Salmoniformes; Salmonidae
Description: partial tRNA-Phe
Source: RNAcentral